RNAcentral lists this ribosomal RNA (253 nucleotides) under uncultured bacterium. RNAcentral's name for it is "partial 16S ribosomal RNA". It matches the Rfam family "Bacterial small subunit ribosomal RNA", at positions 524 to 776 of the family's 1533-position model. The record is from RNAcentral.
UACGUAGGGUGCGAGCGUUGUCCGGAAUUACUGGGCGUAAAGAGCUCGUAGGUGGUUUGUCGCGUUGUUCGUGAAAACUCACAGCUCAACUGUGGGCGUGCGGGCGAUACGGGCAGACUUGAGUACUGCAGGGGAGACUGGAAUUCCUAGUGUAGCGGUGGAAUGCGCAGAUAUCAGGAGGAACACCGGUGGCGAAGGCGGGUCUCUGGGCAGUAACUGACGCUGAGGAGCGAAAGCGUGGGGAGCGAACAGG